Molecule: long non-coding RNA, 9949 nt
Filed under: Triticum aestivum (bread wheat)
Lineage: Eukaryota; Viridiplantae; Streptophyta; Magnoliopsida; Poales; Poaceae
Description: long non-coding RNA (TAES_LNC007641)
Rfam family: MIR1120/MIR1122 microRNA precursor family (bases 1937-2023)
Source: RNAcentral
CAGCAUAUUGCAUCUUGCCAGAAAAGGCAUCAAUUCCAUUUCAGAAAAAGAUAUUGAUAGAGUUAUAAAAAUCUAGUUGUCCCAAAGGUUCUAGACAGGCAUGAAAGAGAAUAGAAACGAUACGCACUUAGAUACAAAUGAUAGCGCACCAUGGACAGCACAAAGCUUUAAUCUGACAUCCAUCGUCUCUCAAACCCACCACCACCGGCAGCGCCAACAAGUAUGCAAGUACUGUAGAAGACUUGUUGCAGCAGCAGCAGCAGCAACAACAGCAGUGAAGGGGCUACAGUACACGUACAAGGAGCAUCUAACGUCACCAUUCGAGAGCAGCGACCGAAGACAUUAUGAUUUCCUGAAUAUGUUGUACAACCUGCGGAAAGAGGAAAUGAAAUGAAGUGUAUAAAUAUGUCGAAAAAUGAACCACGCAAGGGCUGUUAUGUCUGUCAGGGAUUGAUCUUAUGCCUUCAGAUCUGGAGUAAUACAUUUUGGCCUUCAUAAAUGGUUCUUGGCCUUCAUAAAUGGUUCAAGAGAUGAUCAUCACGGGUUAUCUAUCAAAAAUCAACACACAAAAAAACAGUCAUGAAAUCUGCUAGCACACAACAGAGAGUCCAAGGGAUGUAUUAGGUAGGGCAGAGGCAGCGAUAACAGUACACGUGAGCAAGGCAAAUGGGAGCAGAGAAGCAGAGCAGGCAUGCAGCAUAUCCUCCACGUAGGAUUUUAGAGUAUGACCAUGCAAAAGAGUUCGAUUCAGAUGAAAUUCCGAGAAUUCUGAAUCACAACAUGGCCCUCAGAUUUCAGUUUCAUCAUAGGCUAAUGCAGUGGGCUUCAAAGCUGGCACUGGGGCAUGUCUGGGUGAACCGAAGAGGAGGCAAGGCGAUGGCGGCGACGGGGACGCCUGUAGCAAGAGCAGGCCCAUCACUCAGUGGUAGGGCUUCCGCAGAAGCAACGGCUGAUAAGACUUGGACGCUGUAUUUCCGUUAUGUUAAGUAAUGGAAAGGGGUUAUGCCCGGUUCAAAAAAAAAGAAGCAACGGCUGAUCCACAGACACAUGCCUCAGCGCCCAGAGCAGAGAAGCCAGCGCUGCAUCACCAUUUCAGGUCUUCAACCUUGCGAAUGCAACGGCUGAUCCCGUUUCGAGCUCAAACCUAAGCCAAUCUAUCUAUCUAGGGCUUUCAACCUAAUCAUCACUGGGCCAAGGGAAAAUCCAUGCAGCAAGCGAAAAUAUAGUAAUGGACCAAAGAAACUAGGAAAUUAAAUCCGAACCGGGCUUGAUCAAAACAAAUAAUCAAACCACCAGAAAACCAAAUAAUUGAAAAGGAAAAUAGCCGUAGGAGACUUCUUGUGCCACCAGCAGCAGCAGGAGGAACGAAGGGGCCACAGAAGGACCAUCACAUCAACAUUCAUUCAAAAGCAGCAAACAGAAAGAUCAUGAUCCCAUACUGUAGAGCCUGAGGAAAGAGGAAAUGAAAUGAAGAGUACAAAUGUACCGAAAAAUGAACCGCGCAAGGGUUGUGGCAUCUGUCAGGUAGUAGUUAUCUUAUGCCUUCAGAUCUAGUAAUACAUUUGGCCUUGCAAAAUGGUUCAAGAGAUGGUCAUCACGGUUAUCAAAAAUCAACAACAGUUGUCAAGAAAUCUGCUAGCUCACAAAAGAGAGUCAAAGGGAUGUAUCAGAUAGGGCAGAGGCGGCGAUAACAGAGAUGGGGAAGGGAUGUUAGUGACCUCGUGUCGUCAAUCAAUCAUCAAGGCAAACAGAAGCAGAGCAGGCAUGCACCGUCUCCUCUACCUAGGGAGGUUCCGGUGCACCAUUGCGCAUUAAACGAUAAUACAACACGAUAAAGACAAGGUGCGUAUACUGAUGGUUUGAUAGCACGCCCACAGGAAGAUCGCCCUCAGAUAUCAAAAGAGUGUCCCAAAUGGAUCGGCAGAAAACCUGAAUAGUACUCCCUCCGUCCCGUAAUAAAAGAGCGUUUUUGACACUACACUAGUGUCAAAAACGCUCUUAUAUUACGGGACGGAGGGAGUACAACCAUUGCAAUGACAACCACAACAGAAGCAACAACAAGCAGAAAGAAAGAAAGAGUGGAAGCAGAGAGAUGGCCCUUCCACAUGAACAGCAGGCCCAUCUCAGUUUUCACCUGAUUCCCACUUUCCAAGAGCAUGCUUCAGCGCCCAGAACAGAAAAAGCCAACGCUGCAUUAGCCAUUCCAAGAGCAAGGCGCAGCCGCAUUUAAGCACAACCAUGUCAGUCUUCUAUUAAUCAUCAUGGGGCCAAUGGUAAAUCCGAGCAACAAUUGUAAAUAUACUGACAAUACAGUGCAAAAACAAACAGACCAGCAAAGCCCAUCUGUACCUAGAUCAGAUAAAAGAAAUGGAAACAACACCAAUAUUGGUGUGUGGGCUUGGCGGUAGGACAGGAAGGAGAAAUUUGAAGCAGAACUCAUAAACAUACCAAUUUGAAUCACUAAUAAACACUGCAGAGAGAAACCAGCAACACUUAAGCCACUUCAAAAUCUUCACCCUAGUAAAGGGACUACCACUUGGAGACCGGAACUCAAUUCCAAGCUGAUUUACAACAGUGAUCUCUCCUGAUAAAUCAUCAAACUACGAAGAUUUUCUUUCGCUGAGGCGAAAAGCAAAACCAUGAACUGAAAAGGUACUAGAAAUGUAUGAAGAAAUCAACAGAGCACACUUGAUCAUAUCAGACAAAACCACAGCAAAUGCACAAAAUAAUGUAAAAUCUAAACAUAGGAGACAACAAUGCCAAUUACGGGUCCCCAUCAAGCCAACGGAGACGGAUCUGGAAGAUGAAGCUGAAAAUAAAUAAAACAAUCAAAACUUAGCUGGCAAUUUGUAUAAGGUAUGAGAAAGAAACAUAAUGCCCUCAGGUGCCAUAGAUGUAGGAUGUAAUGUUCACUGAUGGCACAAGAAAUGAUCUUCCUUUUGUCCAUAAGGCCAUGUGAAAGGUUGAUCUGCUGUGAACUGCUGUUGCUGCUGUUGUUGUUGUUGCUGCUGCUGCUGCAUGCGUGAUUACGCAUCCAGAGAGAGAAAGAGAGAGCGAGCGAGAGAGAGAGAGACGGGUGCGGGGUGGGGGGAGGAGAGGAUCAUGUAAGUGCCAUCUCUACAUUUUCAGUUUUCAUCAUUGGGCAAUGCAUUAUAGAAGCCAAUAUUUCAAUGGAAAAAUGGCCUUGUAUAAAUGGAAAAAUGAAAACUGGAGUUACACCUUGUAAAAAUGGAUGGACGGAGUAUAAAAUAUGCUCGGUCGCAAAAUCUGUACCAAAAGUAUGCCAUAUUUACUAUGAAAGAGCCAAUCUGCAUCUGAGAAUGGCAAAUGAGCAGUUUUUUAUGACACGUGACACAAAAUAACGUAAAAGAAACAAAAUCAAGAAUAAAAAUGUACAAAAAUGAUCAUUGGAUGAACUGGUAACAUCUGUCAAGAGUGUGAUACUAUGCCUUCAUAUCUAACAAAUCAGGUAUGGGUGUGGGUGUUUCAGUGAUAUCGAUUAAUUAUCUUACCCAUACACUAGCCAAGAUAUUGGCGAAGACAGCGCAUACAUGCCCGGAUGGACUGCUCCACCUAUUGCGAGGUGGCAUUCCACCAUUGCGCAUACAUGUGAAAGCUGGCUGUUUGACAAUGAGCCUGUGCAAAAAGUUCAAUUCAGAUGAAAAUACCGAGAAUUCUGUAUUACAACAUGGCCCUCAGAUUUCAGUUUCAUCAUAGGCUAAUGCAGCGGGCUCCAAAGCUGGCACUGGGGCAUGUCUGGGUGGGCAGAUAGAGGACACAAGACGAUCAUGGCGACGACGAUGGUGUCGGCGACGAGGACGGCGGUGUCACCAGAGUGACACAUUAGCCGGAAGGAAGGGAAGGAAGGAGAGAUAGACCAGGAGUAUGGGCCGGCCCAUCAGUCAGUGGCAAAGCUUCAGCUGAAGCAACAGCUGACCCAAGACACAUGCCUCAGCGCCUAGAACAGACAAGACAGUGCUGCAUAAGACAUUUCAGGGGCCUCAACUUUGAGGAUGCAAAGGCUGGCCCUGUUUGGAUGGGGGUUCCAUCAUAAUCAUCAUUGGGCCAAGUGCAAAUCCAAGUAACAAGCAAAAAUAUAGCAGUAAAAAUGUACUACAAAAUAAACCAAGAAAACAAAAGUAUGCCAAGAUCGAUCAGAUCAAAUAGGCAAACAACAACAGAAAAGAUACUAGAAACAUAACAAACAAAAUAACAGAACAAACCUGACAAUGACCAGAUGAAACGAGCAAAUUCACAAAACUGAAGAAGUCAAAUGGCAAUAGUGCAAAAUCUGAACAUAAGAGACAGGAAUGCAAAUGAAGGGUUUCCAUCAAGCAAUAUAUACAAAUCUGGAAGAUGAAACCAAAAAUAAAUUUAUCAAACCAAGGUUUACUGGUAAUUUGUGUAAGAUGGCAAAAAUAAAGCCUGUGAAUUGAGUUGUUCAUAUAUGUAGCAAUCACUGAUGGCACAAGGGUAGAUCUGCUGUCAACACACGCACGCGGGCACUCGGGGAGAGCCAUGUCUCUUCAUAUUAGUUUUCAUCAUUGGGCAAUACUUCUAACCACCAUCUAAAAGACCAAACUUGGUGUAUAGAACCGGCAUCAGGACUUCAUGGAGAAUUUUAAAACACAAAUCAUAACCAAAAUACUAAUUUAAAACCACUAAUAAACAUUACAGAAUGAAACCAACAAUGUUUUGGCCACUUCAAAACCUUCACCCUGGUAAAGGGCUACAACUUCAAGAUUGGAACUCAAAUGCAAGCUGAUUUACAACAGUAAUCCCUCAUGAUAAAUCAUGAAACACCAAAGAUUUUCCUCUGCUGAGGUGAAAAGCAAAACAAGCUAAGAAGGUACUACAAAAGUAAUGAAAAAUAAAAGAGCAAACUUGAUCAUAAUCAGAAUCAGAAUCAGAUGAAACCAGCAAAUGCACAAAAUUGAUGAAGCAAAGCAAAUGCAAAAUAUGAACAUAAGAGACAGCGAUACUAGUGAAGGGUCCCCAUCAAACCAACACAGAUGGAUCUGGAAAGAUGAAACUGAAAAUAAAUAUAUCCAUGCAAAAAUUUCCGGUAAUUAGUACGGUAUGAAAAAGAAACAUCAUGCCCUCAGGUGCCAUAGAUGUAGCAUUCAUUGAUGGCACAAAAUAUGAUCUCCAUAAGGCAUGUGAAAGAUUAAACUGGUAUGAACUGCUGCUGCUGCUGCAUGCGUCAUUACGCAUCCAUGCACAGAGAGAGAGACAGAGAGAGACAGAAAGAGAGAGGAAGAGGAGGACAGGGAGGAGAGGAUCAUGUCCAAGUGCCAUCUCUACAUUUUCUGUUUUCACCAUUGGGCAAUCCAUUAUAGAAGCCAACACUUCUAUUAUUCAAUCCAACAUCCAGAACAAAAUUAAUCAUCACGAUUCUGUCAAAAUAGAAAUUAAGUGAAAGCCACGGGCCCACAAUCGGGAUAUUAAUUGGGUCAAGGUGUAAAUGAAGUUCCGCAAAGAGAAAUAGUAAAAAACACAAACCGAUAAGAAAGCAGAAAGAAAAUCAGGAAACAUAGACAAGACAUUAGGUCAUUAAAUGCAGAUGUCGCGUUUACUACAGAAGAACCAACCUGCAUCUGAGAAUGCCAAAUGGAAUAUUUGGCAGUGAGCACAUGCAAAAGAGUUUGAUUCCAUUGAAAAUACCAACAAGGUUGUAUUACAAUAUGACCCUCAGAUUUCAGUUUCAUCACAGGCUAAUGCAGCCGGCUUCAAAGCUGGCACUGGGGCAUGCCUUGGUUCACCGGUAAGAAGAAGGAGAAGAAGAAGAAGAAGAAGAAGACAUUUUGCCAUGGCGCAGAGUCAGUGCCAAAGCUUCAGCAGAAGCAACGGUUGAUGCCAGCAGAAGCAACGGUUGACCCAAGACACAUGCCUCAGCGCCCAGAACAGAGAAGACAGCGCUGCAUUAGCCAUUUUCUGGGGCUUCAACUUUGCGAAUGCAACAGCUGGCCCUGUUUGGAGCUAAAAUCUAAGCCGAUCCGCCAUGCAUGCAUGAGGACCAUCGUAAUCCUCAUUGGGCCAAGGGCAAAUCCAAGUAACACGCAAAAUAUACAGCAGUAAAAAUGUACCACCAAAUAAACCAAGAAAACAAAACUAUAUCAAGAUCGAUAAUCAAAUAGCCAAAGCGAAGGCAAGCAAACACAAUAAGGGCAUGAACACAUGUAUAAUUGCUGUCAGUGCACGCAUGGGCACGUGCACACACACACACACACACACACACACACACACACACACUCAGAGAGAGACGGGGGGAAGGAGGGACCAUGUAAUGUGCCAUCUCUAUAGAAGGCAUUACUAAUUGGUGUAUACAACCAGUAUCAGACUUCAUGGACAAUUUUGAAGCACAAAUCAUAACCAAAAUACUAACUUAAAACCACUAAUAAACAUUAGACAGAAACCAACAAUGCUUUGACCAUUUCAAAACCUUCACCCUGGUAAAGGGCUACCACUUCAAGAUUGGAACUCAAAUGCAAGCUGAUUUACAACAGUGAUCACUCAUGAUAAAUCAUGAAACACCAAAGAUUUUCCUCCGCUGAGGUGAAAAGCAAAACAAGCUAAGAAGGUACUACAAAGUAAUGAAAAAUCAACAGAGAAAACAUAAUCAUAAUCAGAUGAAACCACAGCAAAUGCACAAAAAUGAUGAAACAAAGCAAAAAUGAUGCAAAAACUGAACAUAAGACAGCAAUACUAGUGAAGGGUCCCCAUCAAGCCAACACAGACGGAUCUGGAAAGAUGAAACUGAAAAUAAAUAUAUCCAUGCAAAAUUUUCCGGUAAUUAGUAAGGUAUGAAAAAGAAACAUCAUGCCCUCAGGUGCCAUAGAUGUAGCAUUCAUUGGUGGCACAAGAUAUGAUCUCCCAUACGUCCAUAAGGCAGGUGAAAGAUUAAACUGGUAUGAACUACUGCUGCUGCUGCUGCAUGUGCCAUUACGCAUCCAUGCAGAGAGAGAGAGAGAGAGAGAGAGAGAGAGAGAGAGAGAGGAGGAGGAGGAGGACAGGGAGGGGAUGAUCAUGUCCAAGUGCCAUCUCUACAUUUUCUGUUCUCAUCAUUGGGCAAUACAUUAUGUCCAUUAUAGAAGCCAACACUUCUAUUAUUCAAUCCACCAUCCAGAACAAAAUUAAUCUUCCCGAUUUUGUCAAAAUAAAAAUUAAGUGCAAGCCACGUCCCACGAUCGGGAUAUUAAUUGUGUCAAGGUGUAAAUGAGGUUUCACAAAGAGACAUAGUAAAAACACAAACAGAUAAGAAAGCAAAAAGAAAAUCAAGAAACAUAGACAAGACAUUUGGUCAUUAAAUGCUGAAGGCGCGUUUACUACAGAAGAACCAACCUGCAUCUGAGAAUGACAAAUGGAAAGUUUGGCAGUGAGCAGUGAGCACAUGCAAAAGAGUUCGAUUCCAUUGAAAAUACCAACAAGGUUGUCUUACAAUAUGACCCUCAGAUUUCAGUUUCAUCACAGGCUAAUGCAGCCGGCUUCAAAGCUGGCACUGGGGCAUGCCUUGGUUCACCAGUAAGAAGAAGAAGAAGAAGAAGACCUUUUGCCAUGGCCCAGAGUCAGUACCAAAGCUUCAGCAGAAGCAAUGGUUGAAGUCAGCAGAAGCAACGGUUGACCCAAGACACAUGCCUCAGCGCCCAAAACAGAGAAGACAGUGCUGCAUUAGCCAUUUUCAGUGGGUUCAACAUUGCGAAUGCAACAGCUGGCCCUGUUUGGAGCUCAAAUCUAAGACGAUCCAUACAUGCAUGGAUGAGGGCUCCAUCGUAAUCAUCGUAGGGCCAAGGGCAAAUCCAAGUAACACGAAAAAUACAUAGCAGUAAAAAUGUACCACCAAAUAAACCAAGAAAACAAAACUAUAUCAAGAUCUAUCAGAUCAAAUAGCCAAAGCAAAGGCAAGCAACAGAAAAAAGAUACUACAAACACAAUAAACAAAGUAACAGAACAAACCUGAUCUUGACAAGACGAAACAAGCAAAUUCAUAAAGCUGAAGAAGCCAAAUGGCAAUAAUGCAAUAUUUAUGCAUAAAAGACAGGAAUGCAAAAGAAGGAUUUCCAUCAAGCCAGUAUAUACAGAUCUGGAAGAUGAAACUGAAAAUAAAUAUAACAAACACAAGUUUACCGGUAAUUUGUGUUUUUUAGGCAACCUGGUGCAUGUAUCUCCCGCUUGCGCAGGGUCCAGGGAAGGGUCCGACCACUUUGGGUCUAUAGUACGCAGCCUUUCCCUACAUUUCUGUAAGAGGCUGUUUCCAGGACUUGAACCCAUGACCUCAUGGUCACAAGGCAGCAGCUUUACCACUGCGCCAAGGCUCCCCUUCUUUACCGGUAAUUUGUGUAAAAUGGCAAAAAUGAAGCCUGUGCCUUCAGUUGUUCAUAUACUCCCUCCGUUUCUAAAUAUAAGCCCUUUUAGAGAUUUCAAUGCGAACUACAUACUUUAGAGUGUAGAUUCACUCAUUUUGCUCCGUAUGUAGUCCAUAUUGGAAUCUCUAAAAGGGCCUAUAUUUAGGAAUGGAGGGAGUAUGUAGCAUUCACUGAUAGCACAAGGAAUGAUCUUAAAUUCAUCCGCAAUGUUAGAUCUGCUGUCAGCACACGCACACACACAUGCGUGCGUGCUCGGAGAGAGUACCACCAUCCAAAAUACCAAAACAAAACCAUCACGAAAUAGUCAAAAUAAAAAAUUUAGCACAAAGCCACCAGUUCACAAUUAGGACCAGCAAUGGCGUAAGAUGUAACAUGAGGUUAAACUGGUAAGAAAACAGAAAGAAAAGCAGCAAACAUAUAAAAGAUGUUUGGUCACUAAAUCUGUAGCAAAGCAUGUCAUAUUUGCUACAAAGGAGCCAACCUGCAUUCAAGAAUGGCAAAUGAUGACACGUGACACAAACUAUAGUAAAAGAAACGAAAUAAAAAAAAUGUACGAAAAUGAUCCUCAGAUAGACUAGUAACAUCUGUCAGAGCAUGGUCCUAUGCAUCAUAAUUCAUAUCUAACAUGUGAGGGAUGAGUUGGUGAUUCAGUGCCAUCAAUUAAUUAUCUAACCAAAAGAUUAGCCUAGAUCUUGGCGAAGACAGGCAGGCAGCGCAUGCAUGGCCGUAAGGAGUGUUCCAAACAUUGUGACAUGGCAUCCCAUUCCACCAUUUCACACUACCCGGCAGUAUAACACAAUGUGCAGAAGCCGUCUCUUUUACAGUGUGACCAUGCAAAAGAGUUCGGUUCAGAUGAAAAUACCAAGAAUUCUUUAUCACAACAUGGCCCUCAGAUUUCAGGUUCAUCGUCAUAGGCUAAUGCAGCGGGCUCCAAAGUCGGCACUGGGGCGUGUCUGGGCAAACCGAAAGAGGAGGCAAGGCCAUGGCAAAGGUGCGACGACGAGGAAGAGGAGGAGCAGGAAGCAGAGGUAGACCUCAACAAGGGCCGGCCCAUAGGUCAGUGGCAGAGCUUCAGCGGAAGCAACGGCUGACCCGGACACAUGCCUCGGCGCCCAGAACAGAGAAGCCAGCGCCGCAUUAGCCAUUUCAGCGGCUUCAACCUUGCAACGCAACGGCCGGUCCCUUUUCGAGCUCAGAUCUGAGCCCAUCUAUCUAUCUAUCUAUCCAUCCAUCCAUCCAUCCACAUCCCCGCACUGGGGAUUUCAACCUAAUCAUCAUCGGGCCAAGCCACGGAAAAAUUCAUGCAGCAAGCAAGAAGCAUACUACACUACACAUCACCAAACAAGCUAGGAAAGGAAAUCUACACCGAGAUCGACCGGAACAAAGCAUCAAACCAGCGGAGAGCCGACGGAAUCGAAAGGGGGAAUGGACGUAGGAGACGGGGCAAUGCGGCGGAGAACUUCCCACCGAAGCGAAGGGGCCGAUGCCGGCGGCGGCCGCGCAGAUCCGGAGCCCUGCCGGGCUCCUGGUCGCGGGCGGAGGGCGCGAGGGAUGGGGUUUCUCCGCCCAGCGACGCUGGCACCAAA